GGACAUGAGGUCAGCCUGGCUGCAACAUCCAGCACCCUGACUGCCAGGGUGAAUUCAGCCGAUCUGGCUGCUAAGCAGGUGCCCCCUUCCUCCCUCACCCCUCUGUGCAUCUGUCCUGAAGCUUUGAGCUCUUGUCGAAGAAGAAGAACUCCCAGGUGGAGGAGGACCAUCCUUGGGUCGAGGGUAUAUGAGUAGCUGUGCUGUCCUGCUAGAACCUUCAAACAAGCUCUGAAGAGGCCCAGGAUGGACCCCUGAAGGCAAAACAAGCCGCAAGUGAAAAGCUGCUGAGAUGGGGACAAGCCCACCAAGGUCCCUC
Molecule: unclassified non-coding RNA, 316 nt
Organism: Otolemur garnettii (small-eared galago)
Lineage: Eukaryota; Metazoa; Chordata; Mammalia; Primates; Galagidae
Gene: 7SK
Rfam family: 7SK RNA
About the family: 7SK was discovered as an abundant small nuclear RNA in the mid-70s but a possible function has only recently been suggested. Two independent studies have found that 7SK RNA binds the CDK9/cyclin T complex (known as elongation factor P-TEFb).
Source: Ensembl